CGGACGGGUGAGUAAUGUCUGGGAAACUGCCUGAUGGAGGGGGAUAACUACUGGAAACGGUAGCUAAUACCGCAUAACGUCGCAAGACCAAAGUGGGGGACCUUCGGGCCUCAUGCCAUCAGAUGUGCCCAGAUGGGAUUAGCUAGUAGGUGGGGUAACGGCUCACCUAGGCGACGAUCCCUAGCUGGUCUGAGAGGAUGACCAGCCACACUGGAACUGAGACACGGUCCAGACUCCUACGGGAGGCAGCAGUGGGGAAUAUUGCACAAUGGGCGCAAGCCUGAUGCAGCCAUGCCGCGUGUGUGAAGAAGGCCUUCGGGUUGUAAAGCACUUUCAGCGGGGAGGAAGGCGGUGAGGUUAAUAACCUCAUCGAUUGACGUUACCCGCAGAAGAAGCACCGGCUAACUCCGUGCCAGCAGCCGCGGUAAUACGGAGGGUGCAAGCGUU
This 447-nucleotide ribosomal RNA is filed under the name Klebsiella pneumoniae. RNAcentral's name for it is "bacterial SSU rRNA". It matches the Rfam family "Bacterial small subunit ribosomal RNA", at positions 99 to 542 of the family's 1533-position model. The record is from RNAcentral. Lineage: Bacteria; Pseudomonadati; Pseudomonadota; Gammaproteobacteria; Enterobacterales; Enterobacteriaceae.